GAUGAACGCUGGCGGCGUGCCUAAUACAUGCAAGUCGAGCGAACGGACGAGAAGCUUGCUUCUCUGAUGUUAGCGGCGGACGGGUGAGUAACACGUGGAUAACCUACCUAUAGGACUGGGAUAACUUCGGGAAACCGGAGCUAAUACCGGAUAAUAUUUUGAACCGCAUGGUUCAAAAGUGAAAGACGGUCUUGCUGUCACUUAUAGAUGGAUCCGCGCUGCAUUAGCUAGUUGGUAAGGUAACGGCUUACCAAGGCAACGAUGCAUAGCCGACCUAAGAGGGUGAUCGGCCACACUGGAACUGAGACACGGUCCAGACUCCUACGGGAGGCAGCAGUAGGGAAUCUUCCGCAAUGGGCGAAAGCCUGACGGAGCAACGCCGCGUGAGUGAUGAAGGUCUUCGGAUCGUAAAACUCUGUUAUUAGGGAAGAACAUAUGUGUAAGUAACUGUGCACAUCUUGACGGUACCUAAUCAGAAAGCCACGGCUAACUACGUG
Molecule: ribosomal RNA, 497 nt
Filed under: uncultured bacterium
Lineage: Bacteria
Description: partial 16S ribosomal RNA
Rfam family: Bacterial small subunit ribosomal RNA
Source: RNAcentral